Molecule: ribosomal RNA, 301 nt
Filed under: uncultured bacterium
Lineage: Bacteria
Description: partial 16S ribosomal RNA
Rfam family: Bacterial small subunit ribosomal RNA
Source: RNAcentral
CAGUCGCCGCGGUAAUACGUAGGGCGCAAGCGUUGUCCGGAAUUAUUGGGCGUAAAGAGCUCGUAGGCGGUCUGUCGCGUCUGGUGUGAAAUCCCGAGGCUCAACCUCGGGCUUGCAUCGGGUACGGGCAGACUAGAGUGCGGUAGGGGAGACUGGAAUUCCUGGUGUAGCGGUGGAAUGCGCAGAUAUCAGGAGGAACACCGAUGGCGAAGGCAGGUCUCUGGGCCGCAACUGACGCUGAGGAGCGAAAGCAUGGGGAGCGAACAGGAUUAGAUACCCCUGUAGUCCCUGUCUCUUAUAU